This 482-nucleotide ribosomal RNA is filed under the name uncultured bacterium. RNAcentral's name for it is "partial 16S ribosomal RNA". It matches the Rfam family "Bacterial small subunit ribosomal RNA", at positions 28 to 507 of the family's 1533-position model. The record is from RNAcentral.
GACGAACGCUGGCGGCGUGCUUAACACAUGCAAGUCGAACGAUGAAGAAGAGAAACGCGAACUUCGGUUCAAAUUUCACUUCGGAUUAGUGGCAGACGGGUGAGUAACGCGUGAGCAACCUAUCUCUUACAAAGGGAUAGCCUCAGGAAACCGUGAUUAAUACCAUAUGACACAUUCAUAAGGCAUCUUAAGAAUGUUAAAGCUACGGCGGUAAGAGAUGGGCUCGCGUCCCAUUAGCUAGUUGGUGAGGUAACGGCCCACCAAGGCGACGAUGGGUAACCGGCCUGAGAGGGUGAACGGUCACAUUGGAACUGAGACACGGUCCAAACUCCUACGGGAGGCAGCAGUGGGGAAUAUUGCACAAUGGAGGGAACCCUGAUGCAGCGACGCCGCGUGAGCGAUGAAGGAAUUCGUUUCGUAAAGCUCUGUUCUAUGGGAAGAAAAGGACUGUACCAUAGGAGAAAGCCCCGGCUAAAUACGUG